AAUCUCCUACUGUAAAAGUAUCUCCAGAUGUCAUAAGAGAGUCCAGCUCAGUGAAGAUCAGCUGUGAGACUCCAGCAGAUGUUAGAAAGAAUCAGUGUUAUUUCUACACAAACAGAGAAGAGAAGAAUAUAAAAGUCAGAUCAUCAUGUGAGCUCGAGCUCACUGGUGCUGAAGUGCUCAGAUGGGCAGGUGUAAAAUCACCUGAAUCAAUCUACAUUAACUGUUACUACACAAUAAAUGAACGAGGCAUCAAUAAACCAUCAUCUAAUUCUCCUUCUGCCACAGUGACGGUUCUUGGUGAGAUAUUUCACUGCUGUUUAUGUGGUUUGAAACUGUUAUUGCAAUGUUUUUAAUAGCUGUGGACCAUUUCUCUUCAGAUUCACUUCAGAAACCCUUCAUUACUGUUAGUGAUGACCAGCUCAGCAUAUCAUGUGAAAUACCACUUUCAGUCAGAGCUGAUUUCAUCUGUAGUCUCUACACUGAGGAUGAUGUUCUGUAUCAACAUGUCUCUCAUUGGAGUCAGUCUGGAAAGAAUCUUUGUAUGUUUUAUGUAAGUCGUAGUGAACUCUUGACACGAUCAGUGAACAGCAGACAGCUGAUCUGUGUUUAUUCACACAAGACUGAACCUGAGAUCAGAUCACCACACAGUGACACAUACACCCUCAGAGCUUCAACACCAACCACCACUAAACAUACGACUACAACAACAGCCAUGAAAACCUUAGAUGUCCAAUCCAAGACAAGCCCGCCAACCAGCAAAGCAAAGAAAACCCAGACAGCGUUAAAUGUAAUGUCCACUUCUGAAACAACAACAUACAGUAAACCUGUAGAUGUCCAAUCCAAGACAAGCCUGCCAACCAGCAAAGCAAAGAAAACCAAGACAGCGUUAAAUGUAAUGUCCACUUCUGAAACAACAACAUACAGUAAAACUGUAGACUUUCAAUCUAAAUCAAACCUGCCAACCAGCACAGCAACGAAAACCAUGGAACUAUGGUAUAUAGUGCUGGGUUCUACUGGCGUUGCUGUAAUUUUGUCUGGACUCAUCUGUUUCUGUCGGUUUGCAAGUAAAAAAAGAAGAAAACUAAACAAAACAAGAUCAAACAAACCUGAUGUGACCAGUCAAGAGAUUGGUAUGAGCUGUUCUGGACCUGCAGAGACAUACUGUCUGAUCACAUCUGUACCAUCCACAUCUCAGCCCAUAUCUGAAGGCCUCGAACAGGACAGCACAGCAGAUCCCAAAGACAGUUACUCUUUCAUUACUUCUGUCAAUUCAAUUUACCAUUCCCCAGAUGUUUUGGUUAAUAAACAACAGAAACAGGGAAAUACAGAGGAAAAUGAGAAUGUUUAUCACCUGUACUGCACAAUCCCUGACUAACCAGUUCACUCAAACACAGAAGAUCACGUGUACAGUUUGGUGA
Cyprinus carpio (common carp) is the source of this 1418-nucleotide long non-coding RNA. NCBI's taxonomy places the organism in Eukaryota, Metazoa, Chordata, Actinopteri, Cypriniformes, Cyprinidae. The record is from Ensembl.